AUUGAACGCUGGCGGCAGGCCUAACACAUGCAAGUCGAGCGGAUGAAGGGAGCUUGCUCCUGGAUUCAGCGGCGGACGGGUGAGUAAUGCCUAGGAAUCUGCCUGGUAGUGGGGGAUAACGUCCGGAAACGGGCGCUAAUCCCGCAUACGUCCUGAGGGAGAAAGUGGGGGAUCUUCGGACCUCACGCUCUCAGAUGAGCCUAGGUCGGAUUAGCUAGUUGGUGGGGUAAAGGCCUACCAAGGCGACGAUCCGUAACUGGUCUGAGAGGAUGACCAGUCAAACUGGAACUGAGACACGGCCCAGACUCCUACGGGAGGCAGCAGUGGGGAAUAUUGGGCGAUGGGCGAAAGCCUGAUCCAGCCAUGCCGCGUGUGUGAAGAAGGUCUUCGGAUUGUAAAGCACUUUAAGUUGGGAGGAAGGGAAGUAAGUUAAUACCUUGCUGUUUUGACGUUACCAACAGAAUAAGCACCGGCUAACUUCGUG
This 484-nucleotide ribosomal RNA is filed under the name uncultured bacterium. RNAcentral describes it as "partial 16S ribosomal RNA". It matches the Rfam family "Bacterial small subunit ribosomal RNA", at positions 30 to 507 of the family's 1533-position model. The record is from RNAcentral.